ACCCAAGGGGAGCCGUCAAUUAGAGCCGUGCUUGAGCCUAAGGCUGACCUGAGCCGUUUGAAGGCAGAUCUUCCACGGAGCGCCCCGAUCCUUUUCUGGAAAGGUCAAAGGGACGAGAGGGGUCUCUGCAGUGUCCUGGAUCUGGUUUCAACCUCACCUUCUCCAUGGAUGAGAAAAAAAGUCAUUUGGAUUCACUGUGCCUCGGUGUCCCCAGACGGCAAGGAGGACUCAGUCUUUGGUACCUGGUCCAUCAGAGGACAAGCUUUCAUGUGUUAGCCAUCACCUCUGUCAUCACCAUCAUUGUCAUCAUCAUCGUCCUCAUCACUUCAACACGCUGAGCUUUGUAGCUUAAAAGCAAAGUGCCUUUAACAAUGUGGAAGAUGCCACCUUUGGGAUCAAAUGGGAG
Molecule: long non-coding RNA, 406 nt
Organism: Rhinopithecus roxellana (golden snub-nosed monkey)
Lineage: Eukaryota; Metazoa; Chordata; Mammalia; Primates; Cercopithecidae
Exons: 3
Source: RefSeq, a predicted model, not a curated record